GGUAGUCCACGCCGUAAACGAUGAAUGCUAAGUGUUGGAGGGUUUCCGCCCUUCAGUGCUGCAGCUAACGCAUUAAGCAUUCCGCCUGGGGAGUACGGCCGCAAGGCUGAAACUCAAAGGAAUUGACGGGGGCCCGCACAAGCGGUGGAGCAUGUGGUUUAAUUCGAAGCUACGCGAAGAACCUUACCAGGUCUUGACAUACUAUGCAAAUCUAAGAGAUUAGACGUUCCCUUCGGGGACAUGGAUACAGGUGGUGCAUGGUUGUCGUCAGCUCGUGUCGUGAGAUGUUGGGUUAAGUCCCGCAACGAGCGCAACCCUUAUUAUCAGUUGCCAGCAUUAAGUUGGGCACUCUGGUGAGACUGCCGGUGACAAACCGGAGGAAGGUGGGGAUGACGUCAAAUCAUCAUGCCCCUUAUGACCUGGGCUACACACGUGCUACAAUGGAUGGUACAACGAGUUGCGAACUCGCGAGAGUAAGCUAAUCUCUUAAAGCCAUUCUCAGUUCGGAUUGUAGGCUGCAACUCGCCUACAUGAAGUCGGAAUCGCUAGUAAUCGCGGAUCAGCAUGCCGCGGUGAAUACGUUCCCGGGCCUUGUACACACCGCCCGUCACACCAUGAGAGUUUGUAACACCCAAAGUCGGUGGGGUAACCUUUUAGGAACCAGCCGCCUAAGGUGGGACAGAUGAUUAGGGUGAAGUCGUAACAAGGUAACC
RNAcentral lists this ribosomal RNA (713 nucleotides) under uncultured bacterium. RNAcentral's name for it is "bacterial SSU rRNA". It matches the Rfam family "Bacterial small subunit ribosomal RNA", at positions 789 to 1501 of the family's 1533-position model. The record is from RNAcentral.